AAAUGAAUAGACGGGGGCCCGCACAAGCGGUGGAGUAUGUGGCUUAAUUCGAGGCAACGCGAAGAACCUUACCUGGGCUUGACAUAUACCGGACAGGGCAUGAAAGUGUCUCUUCCUUCGGGAUCGGUAUACAGGUGCUGCAUGGCUGUCGUCAGCUCGUGUCGUGAGAUGUUCGGUUAAGUCCGGCAACGAGCGCAACCCGUACUGUCAGUUGCGAACAGGUGAAGCUGAGCACUCUGGCGGGACUGCCCGUGUUAAGCGGGAGGAAGGCGCGGAUGACGUCAAGUCAGUAUGGCCCUUACGUCCAGGGCUGCACACGUACUACAAUGGUCGGUACAGUGGGAUGCAAUACCGCGAGGUGGAGCAAAUCCUCAAAACCGGCCCCAGUUCAGAUUGCAGUCUGCAACUCGACUGCAUGAAGCCGGAAUCGCUAGUAAAGGCGUAUCAGCAACGACGCCUUGAAUACGUUCCCGGGCCUUGUACACACCGCCCGU
This 494-nucleotide ribosomal RNA is filed under the name uncultured bacterium. Its description in RNAcentral is "bacterial SSU rRNA". It matches the Rfam family "Bacterial small subunit ribosomal RNA", at positions 903 to 1397 of the family's 1533-position model. The record is from RNAcentral.